GUGGGGAAUUUUGGACAAUGGGCGCAAGCCUGAUCCAGCAAUGCCGCGUGCAGGAAGAAGGCCUUCGGGUUGUAAACUGCUUUUGUACGGAACGAAACGGUCCUGGUUAAUACCUGGGGCUAAUGACGGUACCGUAAGAAUAAGCACCGGCUAACUACGUGCCAGCAGCCGCGGUAAUACGUAGGGUGCGAGCGUUCAUCGGAAUUACUGGGCGUAAAGCGUGCGCAGGCGGUGCUGUAAGACAGGCGUGAAAUCCCCGGGCUCAACCUGGGAAUUGCGCUUGUGACUGCAGUGCUGGAGUACGGCAGAGGGGGAUGGAAUUCCGCGUGUAGCAGUGAAAUGCGUAGAUAUGCGGAGGAACACCGAUGGCGAAGGCAGUCCCCUGGGCCUGUACUGACGCUCAUGCACGAAAGCGUGGGGAGCAAACAGGAUUAGAAACCCUGGUAGUCC
RNAcentral lists this ribosomal RNA (450 nucleotides) under uncultured bacterium. Its description in RNAcentral is "partial 16S ribosomal RNA". It matches the Rfam family "Bacterial small subunit ribosomal RNA", at positions 354 to 796 of the family's 1533-position model. The record is from RNAcentral.